GCUGCGCACGAGUCGGUGUGGUUUUGUGCUGUAAUUAAAAGUUAAAAAUAUUUAAUUUUCGAAUUAAAGUAAAUCCUUGAAGUAAUAAAUAUAAUAUCUGACAUUAGUUGAAGAUUGAGCUUUGCUAGUAGGUAAACAUCGUGAGGAAACCUGGAUACCUGAGAUGUUCUCUAUAGUAAUUUUGAGGGUGUGUGAAGUCUGCCAAUCCGCAUUGGACCAACGUGGUGGAAAACAGCCUAACCCCCACAGUAGUACAAGAGGCUCGUACCCAACAGUGUGACAGUAUAGACAGUGGAAUUUUUGAACCACACCUGAAGGGAAAGUACUCUAAAUACUGGAGAUAUCAAAUUUAACUCAAAUGAAACAUUCCUUUAUUUUUAAAAACAAGCAAAAUUGCAUUCAAAGAUUUUUGGAAAUACACUUGCCACACGCAGGAAUCAAACGUGUUAAAAUCCGAAAAAAUAACAACCUGUUCUCUUAUACCAUACUCGGAAGUAAAACGUAAGGAAUCAAAUUAAAACGUGUGACGUCAUGUAGUGCCAAGGCUAGUCCUCAAGAAUGAGGAUUUACAAGGAAAAAGUCGCGAAUAACUCGACAACUGACAAAUAUGUUUUGCCUAUUACCUAUUGUUGUAGCGGCGAUAGCCUAGUUGGUUCUGGAACGGACUGCCGAGACGAAUGUUCGCAGGUUCAAAACCCAAGGGCACACA
Molecule: long non-coding RNA, 709 nt
Organism: Manduca sexta (tobacco hornworm)
Lineage: Eukaryota; Metazoa; Arthropoda; Insecta; Lepidoptera; Sphingidae
Exons: 3
Source: RefSeq, a predicted model, not a curated record